UCUGGAGGACGCCCCUCCUCCUUGGUCCUGAACUUCGGCCUCUACCGGAAGGGGAGGCCCACGAGUGCCCACUGUCGUCAUAGAAUUCUGACUCCCCGUCACAAUGGGGGAGGGCCGCAGGGGUCCCUGAGGGUUCCUGCCCAGGCCCCCCGCAGCCGUCCCCACUGGCCCCCGCUGAGGAAGCCCCAUUGUUGGGUCAGACAAGUGCGGACAGGACAGCCUUGAGAUAAAGGCCAAUUUUGUACCCUCUAAGCCCUUGAACUGGUGCCCUUCGGGUUGAAUGUCCCCCUGGUAACCAUCUGUCCCAACUUCCUAGUUUUGGGAGAAGUGAAUUGAACCUCGUCGGGAGAUGGCCGCCGCCUCCUCAGUGGAAUCGUUGCCCCCAGCCCCCCCGGCCUCCCUCCCUGUCCCAGCCCAGACUCUGCUCACCUUACCGCACACCCCAAGGCCCCGAGGAAGCAACAGUCACGACCUGCGAGGAGAGAAAGCGAUGGGAUCACAGGCACCCUGGAGGAACACUUUCAUACAUGGGUCUGCCCAUGGCCGCCCGCGAUGCCCUCACAGCACUCAGAUGUGAACACACAGGCGUUCUUCCAUUUGUCAUUCCACCAAAUGAAAUGUUCCAUCUUCACAUUCACGUCCACAAACCCUGGACAACUUAACCUGUGUGGAGGAAGUCCAUCCAUCUGAGAAAUUCUCCGGCAUCUGAACUAUAAAACACAUUUUAUCUCUCUGAA
This is a long non-coding RNA of Suricata suricatta (meerkat), 737 nucleotides long. RefSeq lists it as uncharacterized. The transcript has 2 exons. Lineage: Eukaryota; Metazoa; Chordata; Mammalia; Carnivora; Herpestidae. The record is from RefSeq and is a predicted model, not a curated record.